CCUCCUGGUGUGUUCUGUGGAUCGACCAAAGAAGGGAACCAAGGAGAAAAACCCUAAGUUCUACAAAUCUGCAAGAUUGAAAGGGAAAUCAAGACCAAAUAACAUGCAUGAACUCGAUUCUCUAGCAAUCUAAGCUUGUCCUACAAAGAGGCGUUAAGGAAGAAAGUUCGAGUCAAGUGAAGCAACAAGGGAAUCAAGACCGAGGCGUUAAGGAAGAAAGUUCGAGUCAAGUGAAGCAACAAGGGAAUCAAGACCGAGGUAAAUCUCAUGUCUAGUUAUCAAGCUCCGCCCCGGUUCGAACACACCUCAAGCCCGUCAAGCGUUCCGCAUUUUGCAAAAGUCAAUGUUAAACAUUUUGUUAAUAUGUUUUCGUCUAGUAGUUAAACCUAGUUUUAUUAUGAUUGUCUUUUGAAGAACUUGUCGUAAGUACGUACAUAAACUUGAUGGUUUGCAAGUAAAA
This is a long non-coding RNA of Helianthus annuus (common sunflower), 460 nucleotides long. RefSeq lists it as uncharacterized. The transcript is spliced from 4 exons. NCBI's taxonomy places the organism in Eukaryota, Viridiplantae, Streptophyta, Magnoliopsida, Asterales, Asteraceae. The record is from RefSeq and is a predicted model, not a curated record.